UGGGGGAUAUUGCACAAUGGGGGGAACCCUGAUGCAGCGACGCCGCGUGAGUGAAGGAGUAUUUCGGUAUGUAAAGCUCUAUCAGCAGGAACGAGGAGAGACGGUACCUGACUAAGAAGCCCCGGCUAACUACGUGCCAGCAGCCGCGGUAAUACGUAGGGGGCAAGCGUUAUCCGGAAUCACUGGGUGUAAAGGGAGCGUAGACGGCAGUGCAAGCCUGGAGUGAAAGGCGGGGGCCCAACCCCCGGACUGCUCUGGGAACUGCAUAGCUAGAGUGCAGGAGAGGUAAGUGGAAUUCCUAGUGUAGCGGUGAAAUGCGUAGAUAUUAGGAGGAACACCAGUGGCGAAGGCGGCUUACUGGACUGUGACUGACGUUGAGGCUCGAAAGCGUGGGGAGCAAACAGG
RNAcentral lists this ribosomal RNA (405 nucleotides) under uncultured bacterium. RNAcentral's name for it is "bacterial SSU rRNA". It matches the Rfam family "Bacterial small subunit ribosomal RNA", at positions 355 to 776 of the family's 1533-position model. The record is from RNAcentral.